This 424-nucleotide ribosomal RNA is filed under the name uncultured bacterium. RNAcentral's name for it is "partial 16S ribosomal RNA". It matches the Rfam family "Bacterial small subunit ribosomal RNA", at positions 360 to 776 of the family's 1533-position model. The record is from RNAcentral.
AAUCUUCCACAAUGGACGAAAGUGUGAUGGAGCAACGCCGCGUGCGUGAAGAGGGUUUUCGGAUCGUAAAACUAUGUUGUAAGGGAAGAACAAGUACAGUAGUAACUGGCUGUACCUUCACGGUACCUUAUUAGAAAGCCACGGCUAACCACGUGCCAGCAGCCGCGGUAAUACGUAGGUGGCAAGCGUUGUCCGGAAUUAUUGGGCGUAAAGCACGCGCAGGCGGUCCUUUAAGGAUGAUGGUGAAGCCCACGGCUCAACCGUGGAGGGUCAUUUGAAACUGGGGGACUUGAGUGCAGAAGGAGAAAGUGGAAUUCCAAGUGUAGCGGUGAAAUGCGUAGAGAAUUGGAGGAACACCAGUGGCGAAGGCGACUUUCUGGUCUGUAACUGACGCUGGGGCGCGAAAGCGUGGGGAGCAAACAGG